AGUAACACGUGGGGAACCUGCCCCUAAGUCUGGGAUACCAUUUGGAAACAGGUGCUAAUACCGGAUAAUAAAGCAGAUCGCAUGAUCAGCUUUGAAAGGCGGCGUAAGCUGUCGCUAAGGGAUGGCCCCGCGGUGCAUUAGCUAGUUGGUAAGGUAACGGCUUACCAAGGCGACGAUGCAUAGCCGAGUUGAGAGACUGAUCGGCCACAUUGGGACUGAGACACGGCCCAAACUCCUACGGGAGGCAGCAGCG
RNAcentral lists this ribosomal RNA (253 nucleotides) under uncultured Lactobacillus sp. Its description in RNAcentral is "partial 16S ribosomal RNA". It matches the Rfam family "Bacterial small subunit ribosomal RNA", at positions 109 to 356 of the family's 1533-position model. The record is from RNAcentral. Lineage: Bacteria; Bacillati; Bacillota; Bacilli; Lactobacillales; Lactobacillaceae.